UUCUAGCUCCGAUGGAGUUAUAUUGGUGUGCGGGGUUGGAGGGUUUGGUCGGUGGGAUGUGAGAACUGGUAUUUUCCAAGCAAAGACACUGAAGUAC
RNAcentral lists this non-coding RNA (97 nucleotides) under Heterosigma akashiwo. Lineage: Eukaryota; Raphidophyceae; Chattonellales; Chattonellaceae. The record is from RNAcentral.